UCGUGUGAUGAAGCGGCACUGGGCUCCGACUACAAACCAAAUGAGCAAGAUAUGCCAACGCUGUGACAGGCCUAGAAAACCUCGUCCACUGACU
Small nucleolar RNA from Aureobasidium pullulans, 94 nucleotides. It matches the Rfam family "A. fumigatus snoRNA Afu_513". Lineage: Eukaryota; Fungi; Ascomycota; Dothideomycetes; Dothideales; Saccotheciaceae. The record is from Rfam.